UACAGAGGUCCCGAGCGUUGUUCGGAUUCACUGGGCGUAAAGGGUGCGUAGGUGGCAUGGUAAGUUUGAUGUGAAAGCUCAGGGCUCAACCCUGAAAUGGCAUUGAAUACUACUGUGCUGGAGGUUUGGAGGGGGGACUGGAAUUCUUGGUGUAGCAGUGAAAUGCGUAGAUAUCAAGAGGAACACCAGUGGCGAAGGCGAGUCCCUGGACAACACCUGACACUGAGGCACGAAAGCUAGGGGAGCAAACGGGAUUAGAAACCCGUAG
This 268-nucleotide ribosomal RNA is filed under the name uncultured bacterium. Its description in RNAcentral is "partial 16S ribosomal RNA". It matches the Rfam family "Bacterial small subunit ribosomal RNA", at positions 524 to 793 of the family's 1533-position model. The record is from RNAcentral.